RNAcentral lists this ribosomal RNA (617 nucleotides) under uncultured bacterium. RNAcentral describes it as "bacterial SSU rRNA". It matches the Rfam family "Bacterial small subunit ribosomal RNA", at positions 338 to 951 of the family's 1533-position model. The record is from RNAcentral.
CCUACGGGAGGCAGCAGUGGGGAAUUUUGGACAAUGGGCGCAAGCCUGAUCCAGCAAUGCCGCGUGCAGGAUGAAGGCCUUCGGGUUGUAAACUGCUUUUGUACGGAACGAAACGGUGAGCUCUAAUACAGUUUGCUAAUGACGGUACCGUAAGAAUAAGCACCGGCUAACUACGUGCCAGCAGCCGCGGUAAUACGUAGGGUGCGAGCGUUAAUCGGAAUUACUGGGCGUAAAGCGUGCGCAGGCGGUGAUGUAAGACAGAUGUGAAAUGCCCGGGCUCAACCUGGGACCUGCAUUUGUGACUGCAUCGCUAGAGUACGGUAGAGGGGGAUGGAAUUCCGCGUGUAGCAGUGAAAUGCGUAGAUAUGCGGAGGAACACCGAUGGCGAAGGCAAUCCCCUGGACCUGUACUGACGCUCAUGCACGAAAGCGUGGGGAGCAAACAGGAUUAGAUACCCUGGUAGUCCACGCCCUAAACGAUGUCAACUGGUUGUUGGGUCUUCACUGACUCAGUAACGAAGCUAACGCGUGAAGUUGACCGCCUGGGGAGUACGGCCGCAAGGUUGAAACGUCAAAUGAAUUGACGGCUGAGAGNGCGAGGCGACACGAGGGGAGAGG